ACACCCUCAGCUCAGGUAAACGGGGAAGUCGACCUGCGAGAGCGGCUCUGGAAAAGGCUUGACACACCCGCAGCGGACAUGACGGGAGAAAUGACCGAGCAGAAGAACUUUUCUGAAGUCAUUGGUCAGAUAUUGCAAAGUGCGCCAGAUGCGAGGAAACACCUCGUUGACAACCACAGCAACCUCUUGCAAGUGGCGGAUUACUGCGAGAACAGUUACCUCCAGGCAGAGGAUCAGACCAAGGCUUUGGAUGAGGCCAAGGCUUUGACCGCCCAGUCGCUGGCCAGUGUCUCCUACCAGAUCAACAGUCUGGCCACAACCAUGCUGAAGCUGCUGGACUCGCAGGCCAUGCAGAUCAGAGCUAUGGAGAACUCAGUCAACCUGCUGUCACUGGCUGCUGCUAUCCACUUUGAGAAGGUGGCGAGGAGAGAGAUCGGUUCUUAUACUACGGCCAAAGACAGGACUCGCUCCAGGCUGAUGGCUCUGCCGCCUUUAGGCAAGGAGCCAGAGAGGGGCCACUUAAGGGUGCCGAUAUCAUACUCUGCCUUGGACACUAUUGGACACUGUUUUAAGACCAUUGAGGAGCAGCCCAGAAAGAGAGCAGACAGCAUACUGAGCACUGCAGACAUCUCUGUAACCAGUCUCGGCAUCGCUGUGCCUCCUCCGUCAGUCCCCACCUUGCGAACUGUCGCCAACCCCUCCAACGACAGUCUGCCCCCACCUCCCCCCCCGGCCGGUGGCCUGGAACCCGGGCUGCCUGCCCCUCCGCCUUUCUCUUCCUCCAUGGACUACGGCCUCCCCCCUCCGCCCCCCAUGACCUCGCCGACAUGUCAGCCCCCGCCGCCCCCACCGCCCCCUCCGCCGACUAUGGGCCUGUCGAACGCAGCCUACCCACCGCCUCCGCCGCCGGCAUCAUCGGGAGCUGGACCUCUUCCCCCUCCGCCUCCUCCUCCUCCUCCAGUGUCAGGGGCGUCAUCUCCCCCACCUCCUCCUCCUCCUCCUCCUCCGCCACCACCUCCCCCUCUCCUACAUUAACAAACAAUAUGGGUCAUGUUGUCGGAUGGUUAAAAUUUUGUGAAAAUGCAAAGCAGGUAACAAGUCUGAGCAGACAUGCUGGGUCUUUGCCAUGAGAUGAAAGUGUAAAAGAUAUUUUCAGGUUUGUUUUGACAUCGACAUAAUUUGCAAAUAAAAGCUGGAAACAGUCGAAUUGACCUUGAGCUGUUUCAUCUGUGUUGAACAGCACAAAAUGAGCUUCAGAUUAUAAUUUUUUCUUGGACUGGAAAUCCUCCUCCUCAGUGACACAGGGUGCUGCGUUGAAUGCUGCUCUGCGGAGCGUGUCUCAACAGCCCCUGCACUGCAUUCCUGUGAAACAAGCUCAAACAAGGAUUUCCACAUUUUCGUGUUAUCUUCAGUUUUUUGUGUCCUGUAAUGUGAUUUCCCUUCCUUAUUACGUCUUUGUGUUAUUACAAUAUUUCUUAAUCCGUUCAAGUGACUUCAAAAGCUGGUGGCCUUUUACACUGUCACUCUACUGUGUGGGGAGAGCACUAUCAGUGACGAUAAGUUGUCUAUGUCAGAUGCUACUUUAAACAGGUCAAUGAGGCUGUAAAACGUCUGUUGCAAGUCAACACUCUGCUUAAGCUGCACUACAUGGCUGCCACUUGAAGCUCAAACCCCUGUCUGACUCAGACCCAUCCCCGCUACACACCGACCCUCCAGCGUCCUCCGAGCGGCCCAGCUCCUCCUCCACCUGCUUCACUUCAAACCCCCUCUACAGCCUGAACACGAUCUAAAUAUUUUUCAACCUUAUUUGAGCCCAUACAGGUUACAGUGACCUUCAGUGCGUAUAUGUAGUUAUAUCUUGAGACAUAUAGUUAUAUUUAGAAUAAUUCUGAUGUCUACAAUGUUUUUAAUAAAUUAACAUUUGUACAGUAUAUACAUGAAUGUAUACACGUGAAGUGGGAGGAAAUAAUGACUUUUUAAUUGCAAUAAUCAACGUGUUUUAAUGAUACUGAGGUUACAAAAGUCUGUGUAAUGUACAAAAUUAAGUCAUUUAUAUUUUAAUAAAUAAAGUUAAAAACAGAAUGGGAAGAACUACUAAGGUGGAAAAAAAUUAUUUGUUUGCUGUCUAACAUCUUUCUAGUGGUCUAACAGCUGAACUCUGACCUCAGUAAACAAUGAAUGAAGUCAUUAAACGUAAGAAAUGUGAAAUGCAGAGUGCCCCAGAGAGUCCUGUGUCUUUAAACAAUAAAAUAAUGCUGUAAAACUUCCUCAUGCGGUUCACUUCCCCAUAAGUAACAUAUUAUCCUCUGCUAGCAACCCACAGGUGGGAACAGUUUUUCUAUGAUUCUGGUUCUUUGACUAAGUAGUGUCAGCAUCUUGACAUUAUCCCUGACAUGACUGAGGUACUGAAUAUCUUUCAAUAUAUAUUCCCAGUCUUGGUGGUGUCCAUAGCUGUGGUACUCCUCUGCUUCUAUGCUCAUGCAAAAAAGAAAAGGGCAGUGUAUGAUGUCACCACACCGACGACGCAGGACAACAGCCCUGCUGCCGUAAACUAUACCGUUUCUUCAGAAGAUGAAGAGGACAGACAUUACGACAGACUUCCUCCUCCCUACAGCAGCUUGGAUCACCCACCUCCCUACUCACUGUUUGACCCCGUGUUGGCAAGCCUUUGGCCGGCGGACUCGCUGCCUGCCUUAGGGAUGUAUCCCAUAAUGCUUCCUCUGGCGUCUCAUCACUGAAUGAUCACCAUCACCUUCACCCACCAUAGACGACGACAGCUUCAGAG
Molecule: RNA transcript, 2785 nt
Organism: Platichthys flesus (European flounder)
Lineage: Eukaryota; Metazoa; Chordata; Actinopteri; Pleuronectiformes; Pleuronectidae
Gene: abi3b
Gene name: ABI family, member 3b
Exons: 9
Source: RefSeq, a predicted model, not a curated record